Molecule: ribosomal RNA, 397 nt
Filed under: uncultured bacterium
Lineage: Bacteria
Description: partial 16S ribosomal RNA
Rfam family: Bacterial small subunit ribosomal RNA
Source: RNAcentral
AUACGUAGGUGACAAGCGUUAUCCGGAUUUACUGGGCGUAAAGGGCGUGUAGGCGGUCUUGCAAGUCAGAAGUGAAAUUCCUGAGCUCAACUCGGGCGCUGCUUCUGAAACUGCUUUACUUGAGUGCUGGAGAGGAUAGUGGAAUUCCUAGUGUAGCGGUAAAAUGCGCAGAUAUUAGGAGGAACACCGGUGGCGAAGGCGGCUAUCUGGACAGUAACUGACGCUGAGGCGCGAAAGCACGGGGAGCAAACAGGAUUAGAUACCCUGGUAGUCCGUGCCGUAAACGAUGAAUACUAGGUGUAGGGGGUAUCGACUCCCUCUGUGCCGCAGUUAACACAUUAAGUAUUCCACCUGGGGAGCACGGCCGCAAGGUUGAAACUCAAAGGAAUUGACGGGG